UGCCCCCCAAGUCAUUGCGUUCCUGCCCUGAACACAUCUCUUAUGUAAUCAAGGCAAAGUUCUUGAAUGCUUCAGCAAACUCCCUUGCUUUCCUUGGCAAUGGCUUGAUGGAACCUUGCCCUGUGCCAUCUAGAUCUUAAACAGAAGUUACUGGAAAGAGACCUCUCUUCCCCUGGAUGGCAUCGUGUGAAGACAUGUGACUUGCAGUCACUGUGGACAUUUGUGACCACAAAGACCCAUGAAACUGGAUGAUGAAGCCAAAUCUAAUACCACAGAAGGCAGAGCAAGGAGAGGGGGAGAGGCUGGCCUUGGUGACAUUGUUUGAAUCUAGUCUUCUCUGAAUCAGUCCCACCUUAGCCCUUCUCAAUCAUGAUUAUGGCAUCCAGCUGCAUCCAUGUCACUGCAAAGGAUAUGAUUUCAUCGGAAAGAAAGUAUUUGAAAGAGCUUUGUUCAGGUCAUGCUAACUAUCAUGUCAUGAGGACACUCACGCAGCCUAUGGAGAGGUCCACAUGGUGAGGAACUGAGACCUCUGGCCAACAGCUUUGUAAGUCCAUCAUCUCAAAUCUCCAACCCCAAUCUAGCCUUCAGAUGACUGUAGCCCAACCAACAUCGUGACUGCAAUCUCAUGAGAGACCACUCAUUGCAAACCUGAUCCUGGAUUCCUGACCCUCAGAUACUAUGAGAUAAUAAAUGUUUUUAGCUGCUAAGUUUGGGGGUAAUUUGUUAUGCAGCAAUAGAUAAUUAAUAUGGGAACUGCUUAAUGUUGUUGUAAUGGA
This 776-nucleotide long non-coding RNA is filed under the name Homo sapiens (human). RNAcentral describes it as "HSALNT0389580". Lineage: Eukaryota; Metazoa; Chordata; Mammalia; Primates; Hominidae. The record is from RNAcentral.